Molecule: ribosomal RNA, 377 nt
Filed under: uncultured bacterium
Lineage: Bacteria
Description: bacterial SSU rRNA
Rfam family: Bacterial small subunit ribosomal RNA
Source: RNAcentral
AUACGUAGGUGGCGAGCGUUGUCCGGAUUUACUGGGCGUAAAGGGUGCGUAGGCGGAUGUUUAAGUGGGAUGUGAAAUCCCCGGGCUUAACCUGGGGGCUGCAUUCCAAACUGGAUAUCUAGAGUGCAGGAGAGGAAAGCGGAAUUCCUAGUGUAGCGGUGAAAUGCGUAGAGAUUAGGAAGAACACCAGUGGCGAAGGCGGCUUUCUGGACUGUAACUGACGCUGAGGCACGAAAGCGUGGGUAGCAAACAGGAUUAGAUACCCUGGUAGUCCACGCCGUAAACGAUGGAUACUAGGUGUAGGGGGUAUCAACUCCCUCUGUGCCGCAGUUAACACAAUAAGUAUCCCGCCUGGGGAGUACGGUCGCAAGAUUAAA